Molecule: transfer RNA, 81 nt
Filed under: archaeon
Lineage: Archaea
Description: tRNA-Ser
Rfam family: tRNA
About the family: Transfer RNA (tRNA) molecules are approximately 80 nucleotides in length.
Source: RNAcentral
GCCGGGAUCGCCUAACGGUAUGGCACCAGCCUGCUAAGCUGGCUCCUUUUGGAGAUCUGGGUUCAAUUCCCAGUCCCGGCG